Molecule: small RNA, 4316 nt
Filed under: Pan troglodytes (chimpanzee)
Lineage: Eukaryota; Metazoa; Chordata; Mammalia; Primates; Hominidae
Description: processed transcript
Source: RNAcentral
GUUUAUUGUAGUCUUCACAGUCUGGGCUUCUUUGUACCUGUCCUUCUUGGGAAGGCUUUCCAAGUAUUUGAGGGGAAUUGGGCGUUGUGAUCUAAGUCUUUGGUCACUGCAGCUGUAUCUGCAUUAGGGGGCACCCUAAGCCCAGUAAUGUUGUGGCUCCUGCAGACUUGUAGAGGUUACUGCCUUGGUGGUCUUGGGUCAGAUCUGGGAGAAUUCUCUGGAUUACCAGGGAGAGACUCUUGUUCUCUUCCCUAACUUUCUCCCAAACAAAUGGAGUCUCUUUCUCUCUGUGCUGAGCUGCUUGGAGCCAGGAGGAGUGACACAGCACCCCUGUGGCCAUUAAUACUGGGACUGGCCUGGGUCAGGCCUGAAGCCAGCACAGCACUGGGUCUUGCCCAAGGUCCACAUGGUGACCACUUGCCUGUCUACCACCUAUGUUUACUCAAAGCCCAAGGGCACUACAAUCAGCAGGUGGCAAAUCCAGCCAGGCUUAUGUCCUUCCUUUUAGGGCAGCCAGUUACCCUGGCUCUGGGCAGAUCCAGAGAUGCUAUCAGGGCCUGGCAUUGAGAACCUUAGGAAUCUUCCUGUCAUUCCGUUCUACAGCAGCUGAGCUCACACCCAAACCAAAAGACAAACUCCUUCUCAUUCUUCACUCCCGUUUCCUCAAGCAGAGGAAUCUCUCCCCAUGGCCACCGCUGCCCCAGGCCUGCAGCAAGUACUGCAAGGCUGUCGCCGAUAUUCACUCAAGGUCCAAGGGCUCUUUGGUCAGCUUGUGGUCAAUGCUGAUAGGCCUGGGUAUCUCCCUUCAGGGCAAUGGGCUCCCCUCUGGCCCAGAGUGGGUCCAGAAAUACCAUCCAGGAGCCAAGGCCUAGAAUCAGGGACCUCAAGAGCACACUUGGUGUUCUACCCCACUGUGGUUGAGCUUGUACCGUGCCUGUAAGACAGAGUUCCCUUUACUCUUCCCUCUCUUUUCCUCAAGCAGAAAGAGUCUCUCCCUGUAGCCACCACAGCUGGGAAUAUACUGGGUCACUCCUGAGGCCAGCAUGGCUCUGAGUCUCACCCAAUGCCCACAGUGAGUACUGCCUGGCUACCACUGUUGAUUAUACAGAGCCCAAGGGCUCUUUGGUCAGCAGGUGAUGACUCCUGCCAGGACUGGAUCCUUCCCUUCAAAUGUGCUGGUUGCAUUUUGGUCCAAGGUGUGUCUAGAAAUGUCAUCCAUAAGCUAGGUCCUGGAAUGGGGGCCUCAGGACUCUGGUCCCUUGUUCUACUCUGGCUGAGCUGGUAUCCAAGUUGCAAGACAAAGUCCUUUUUACUCUUCUAUCUCUUCCUGGGCUGUGAACAACUCUGCCUGGCUUUGCAGUAAGGGUGGCAAAAAUGCACUCCCUGGCCACCCAGCUGGUGUCUCAGUAGGUCAUGUGCACCCUAAGUCUACUGGGCUAGUGGAGUGGCAGUAACAGACGAUAUAAGGUAGGAGUUGCAUUGUGUCUGAGAAGAUGUGGAGAGGACUGUGAACCUACUUUUGUGCAACACUGAAAAGUAUAUGCUUCCUUUCAGUUAAUUGACAUGAGUCUUUGAAGAAUAGACUCACAUUCUGAGUCUGUGAGUGAAUAUUUUUUCAUUCUACACCCUUACUUAGCAAGCUAAAGUCCUGAAAAAUAUGAUUCCUGAAUUUUCUUGAUUUCCAGAAUAAUAUAGCAUAUUCCUUAAAAGAAAGUGGUUUCAUGAAAGGUGUUACUUUCAAAAAAUUAAUCUUCUUUUCCUUUUUUAAAAAAUAGGAUUAAAAGAGUAAAAUUAAUAUCUAACAAAGGGACUGAAACUGACAAUGACCCAAGUUGUGUCCAUCCUAUCAUUAAGAGGAGACAAUGUCGACCAGAGAUUAGAAUGUGGCAAACAAGAGAGAAAGCAAAAUUUUCAGAUGGAGAAAAGUGCCGUAGGGAGGCUUUUAGGCGUUUGGGUAAUGGGGUGUCUGAUGACCUGUCAAGUGAAGAAGAUGGUGAAGCACGGACACAGAUGAUAUUAUUGCGUAGGAGUGUGGAAGGGGCCUCAAGUGACAAUGGUUGUGAAGUUAAGAAUAGAAAAUCAAUACUUUCAAGGCACCUAAACUCUCAGGUAAAGAAAACCACUGCAAGGUGGUGUCAUAUUGUGCGGGAUUCAGAUAGUCUGGCUGAAUCAGAAUUUGAAUCAGCAGCCUUCAGCCAGGGCUCUAGAUCGGGUGUGAGUGGUGGCUCUCGAAGCCUCAACAUGUCAAGAAGAGACUCAGAAAGCACCCGCCAUGACUCGGAGACUGAGGAUAUGUUAUGGGACGACCUGCUACAUGGCCCAGAGUGCCGGUCAUCUGUCACCAGUGACAGUGAGGGGGCCCAUGUGAAUACCCUUCACUCAGGGACCAAACGUGACCCCAAAGAGGAUGUUUUUCAGCAGAAUCAUUUAUUCUGGCUUCAGAAUUCAAGUCCUUCCUCUGAUCGAGUUAGUGCAAUAAUCUGGGAGGGGAAUGAGUGCAAAAAGAUGGAUAUGUCUGUGUUGGAAAUAAGUGGCAUCAUCAUGAGCAGGGUCAAUGCCUAUCAGCAAGGAGUAGGUUAUCAGAUGCUGGGAAAUGUUGUCACUAUUGGAUUAGCAUUUUUUCCAUUCUUACAUCGACUUUUCCGUGAGAAGAGCCUUGACCAACUAAAGUCCAUUUCAGCUGAGGAGAUCUUGACUCUCUUUUGUGGGGCACCACCUGUUACACCUAUUAUUGUUUUGUCCAUAAUUAAUUUUUUUGAAAGAUUGUGUCUUACUUGGAUGUUUUUUUUCAUGAUGUGUGUGGCAGAGAGAACAUAUAAACAGAGAUUUUUAUUUGCAAAACUCUUCAGCCAUAUUACUUCUGCCAGGAAAGCUAGGAAAUAUGAAAUACCUCAUUUCAGACUUAAGAAGGUGGAGAAUAUUAAAAUAUGGUUAUCACUGCGUUCCUAUCUAAAGAGACGGGGGCCACAGCGUUCAGUUGAUGUGGUUGUAUCCUCGGUUUUCCUACUGACACUUUCGAUUGCUUUCAUUUGUUGUGCUCAGGUUCUCCAAGGACAUAAAACUUUCCUGAAUGAUGCUUAUAACUGGGAGUUUUUGAUCUGGGAAACAGCUUUACUACUUUUUUUAUUGCGUCUGGCCUCACUGGGGUCUGAAACCAAUAAGAAAUACAGCAAUGUUUCAAUAUUACUUACAGAACAGAUUAAUUUAUAUCUUAAGAUGGAAAAAAAGCCAAAUAAGAAAGAACAGCUUACUCUAGUAAACAAUGUAUUAAAGCUGUCCACCAAGUUGUUGAAAGAGCUGGACACACCAUUUAGACUCUAUGGACUGACAAUGAAUCCCUUAAUCUACAAUAUCACAAGAGUAGUUAUCCUUUCUGCUGUCUCAGGUGUUAUAAGUGAUCUUCUAGGAUUUAAUAUAAGACUGUGGAAAAUUAAAUCAUAAGCUGAGUUAAAUGCCUGGAGUCUCCCCUGGCUGGUGUCAAAACUUACCUAUCAAGGAAAGUGAUGACUGCAGAAACCAGUGAGAUACCCACCUGCUUGUUCACAUGCACAGGUGCUCUCAGCUCUGCCAAAGCGAAUGAAUGGUGUUUCCGGAGGAGCAAGUCCUUUUCCAACUGGGUGUGCAUGCUAAAAACCUGUAUUUUCAUGCUUUUCAAACAACAUGAAUAGUCAGCUGACUAAAGACUGUGUGUGUUGUGGUAACACAAGGACAAUUUUGUAAGUUUGCGCUUCAGUACUGUGACAGUUAUGUUUACUGGACAUAGUCUUUUGGGCAACUAUGAUAGAUGCCCAAAGCAUGAAGCAAAUAUCUUUUAUUGGAAAUAUGCAAAUUCAAUACUUUUCCAUUAUAGUCUAUAGAACUGGAGAUUUCAUUUCUCUAUCAAAGAGAGAUCAAGCGAACUAUUUUAGGUUAAAUCCGAAUAAAAGAACUUUACUGGAGACUUUCAGUUUCUAGGUUUUCUUUGUUGUUGAAGGAAGAAAAUUAACUUUUAAACUGUGAGUUUCUGUUAAACUGUGGAGAAAUGUUUUGUUCGUUUACGAUUUUGAGUUAAUAACUGUAUAGUUGUUGGCGAACGAUGCAUGCGUACAAUAUGCCAUGUAAUUCAGCAUGAAAAAUUUAAGUAUAUGCCUACUCAUCCAUUUCCAUCAUACAACAUGGUUUCCACGUUCUAUGUGGAAGCCAUGGAAGCAUUGUUUCCAUAUAGAUCAUCUGAGUUGUGGUUCCUAACACAGUGCUAUGUGUCCUAUCACAAGCAUCAUUGAUAGUUUAUCAGUUGUGCAACUUAAUGUAUUAAACCCUCCGUACAUUUUCAGGUC